This 251-nucleotide ribosomal RNA is filed under the name uncultured bacterium. RNAcentral's name for it is "partial small subunit ribosomal RNA". It matches the Rfam family "Bacterial small subunit ribosomal RNA", at positions 26 to 285 of the family's 1533-position model. The record is from RNAcentral.
AGGAUGAACGCUAGCGGCAGGCCUAAUACAUGCAAGUCGAACGGUCGGUAGCAAUACUGAUAGUGGCGCACGGGUGCGUAACGCGUAGCCAACCUACCCACAUCUGGGGGAUAGCCCGCCGAAAGGCGGAUUAAUACCGCAUAAGACAGCGGAGCGGCAUCGCUUGGUUGUUAAAGAUUUAUUGGAUGUGGAUGGGGCUGCGUGCCAUUAGCUAGUUGGGGGGGUAACGCCCACCAAGGCGACGAUGGCUA